RNAcentral lists this long non-coding RNA (458 nucleotides) under Androctonus crassicauda. The record is from RNAcentral. Lineage: Eukaryota; Metazoa; Arthropoda; Arachnida; Scorpiones; Buthidae.
UGCUAAUCAUUUAUAUGAGGGAAAGUCAUUAAAUAAAAGGAAUUUUAAUAAGUUUUUUGCACUUGGUCUACCUAUCCACAAGUUUGCAGAUAACCUUUAGAAAAAGCUUUGAUUAGUCCUUUAACCAACUUUGUAACACCUCCAUUAUCUCAUCUACAAAUAUCAGAUCCCAGGAAAAUGUUCUUUUGAAAGCCAAAUAAGUGAAAGUCCAAUGGCACCAAAUCCAGACUAUAUUGUGGAUGUUUUAACACCUCCAGUUUCAGAACAUUUAAUGUCUCCAUUAUAUGCUCUGAAAUUUUUGUCUUCUGUUUUUAAAUCUUUCCACUCUUUCACACACAUUCUCCAGAUUCAAACAACUGUCUCCUGUGGAGACCUGGAAUUUGGGUCCGAUGUAAAAGGUCAUUAUAUACCCCUUUAUCAAAUACAAUUGGUAGAAAUCCAAACAUAAUGAUACUUUA